Molecule: ribosomal RNA, 123 nt
Filed under: Xystretrum sp. 1 SCC-2013
Lineage: Eukaryota; Metazoa; Platyhelminthes; Trematoda; Plagiorchiida; Gorgoderidae
Also listed under: 1 other name
Description: partial 5.8S ribosomal RNA
Rfam family: 5.8S ribosomal RNA
About the family: 5.8S ribosomal RNA (5.8S rRNA) is a component of the large subunit of the eukaryotic ribosome. It is transcribed by RNA polymerase I as part of the 45S precursor that also contains 18S and 28S rRNA. Functionally, it is thought that 5.8S rRNA may be involved in ribosome translocation.
Source: RNAcentral
UGUCGAUGAAGAGCGCAGCCAACUGUGUGAAUUAAUGUGAACUGCAUGCUGCUUUGAACAUCGACAUCUUGAACGCAUAUUGCGGUCACAGGCUAGCCUGUGGCCACGCCUGUCCGAGGGUCG